Molecule: ribosomal RNA, 540 nt
Filed under: uncultured bacterium
Lineage: Bacteria
Description: bacterial SSU rRNA
Rfam family: Bacterial small subunit ribosomal RNA
Source: RNAcentral
AAUAGAUACCCGGGUAGUCCACGCCGUAAACGAUGUCGACUUGGAGGUUGUUCCCUUGAGGAGUGGCUUCCGGAGCUAACGCGUUAAGUCGACCGCCUGGGGAGUACGGCCGCAAGGUUAAAACUCAAAUGAAUUGACGGGGGCCCGCACAAGCGGUGGAGCAUGUGGUUUAAUUCGAUGCAACGCGAAGAACCUUACCUACUCUUGACAUCCACGGAACUUUUCAGAGAUGAAUUGGUGCCUUCGGGAACCGUGAGACAGGUGCUGCAUGGCUGUCGUCAGCUCGUGUUGUGAAAUGUUGGGUUAAGUCCCGCAACGAGCGCAACCCUUAUCCUUUGUUGCCAGCGGUUAGGCCGGGAACUCAAAGGAGACUGCCAGUGAUAAACUGGAGGAAGGUGGGGAUGACGUCAAGUCAUCAUGGCCCUUACGAGUAGGGCUACACACGUGCUACAAUGGCGCAUACAAAGAGAAGCGACCUCGCGAGAGCAAGCGGACCUCAUAAAGUGCGUCGUAGUCCGGAUUGGAGUCUGCAACUCGACU